This 497-nucleotide ribosomal RNA is filed under the name uncultured bacterium. RNAcentral's name for it is "partial 16S ribosomal RNA". It matches the Rfam family "Bacterial small subunit ribosomal RNA", at positions 28 to 507 of the family's 1533-position model. The record is from RNAcentral.
GAUGAACGCUGGCGGCGUGCCUAAUACAUGCAAGUCGAGCGAACAGACGAGGAGCUUGCUCCUCUGACGUUAGCGGCGGACGGGUGAGUAACACGUGGAUAACCUACCUAUAAGACUGGGAUAACUUCGGGAAACCGGAGCUAAUACCGGAUAAUAUAUUGAACCGCAUGGUUCAAUAGUGAAAGACGGUUUUGCUGUCACUUAUAGAUGGAUCCGCGCCGCAUUAGCUAGUUGGUAAGGUAACGGCUUACCAAGGCAACGAUGCGUAGCCGACCUGAGAGGGUGAUCGGCCACACUGGAACUGAGACACGGUCCAGACUCCUACGGGAGGCAGCAGUAGGGAAUCUUCCGCAAAGGGCGAAAGCCUGACCGAGCAACGCCGCGUGAGUGAUGAAGGUCUUCGGAUCGUAAAACUCUGUUAUUAGGGAAGAACAAAUGUGUAAGUAACUAUGCACGUCUUGACGGUACCUAAUCAGAAAGCCACGGCUAACUACGUG